Molecule: transfer RNA, 74 nt
Filed under: Verrucomicrobiaceae bacterium
Lineage: Bacteria; Pseudomonadati; Verrucomicrobiota; Verrucomicrobiia; Verrucomicrobiales; Verrucomicrobiaceae
Description: tRNA-Pro
Source: RNAcentral
GGGCGUGGCUCAGCCUGGUAGCGCGCUUCGCUCGGGACGAAGAGGCCGUGGGUUCGAAAGCCUUCGGAUGCCCG